Long non-coding RNA from Pseudopipra pipra, 1221 nucleotides. RefSeq lists it as uncharacterized. The record is from RefSeq and is a predicted model, not a curated record. The transcript has 2 exons. Lineage: Eukaryota; Metazoa; Chordata; Aves; Passeriformes; Pipridae.
GAAUACAGCUAAAGCAGGAUAAGCAGGAAUGUUCUUCUGCAGGAAUAUUCUAUCCUAAACUAGGAUAAGCAGGAAUAUUGUCCUGCAGGAAUAAUCUAUCCUAAAGCAGGAAUAUUCUUCUGCAGGAAUAUUCUGCCCUGGGAAUAGUCUAUCCCAAAUCAGUAUAAGCAGGAAUAUUCUUCUGCAGGAACAUUCUGCCCUAGGAAUAGUCUAUCCUAAACCAGGCUAUGCAGGAAUGUUCUGCCCCUGCAGAGGCACAUUAAUGAUUGAUGGACCUAGUUGUUGUAGUGGAAUAAAAUACUUUUUAUGUAAAGAAAGAACAUACUUUUUAUGUAAAGAAAUAUGAGAAGAUGAAAUCACACCCAAUUGUUGUUGUAGGUCUUGUGGAGAAUUGGAAGUUUGUGACAGUGGGGAAUGAAAGCUUUAAUCAAAGUGAUCACAGGGAAGCAUUUCAGCAACAGCAGGUCAACAACACAGUGGAAAUUUCCUCAAAGGCUCCAGCUCCAAUCAGUCCUGAACAGAAGUGUGAGUGAGGCUCAUGGAAGGAAUAAACAUAAAGAGGAAUUGGGUUCUUUCAAUACAGCAGUAAUGGAGAUGAAAGGGUUAAUUCAAAAUGUCAGGCUAAGAAUUAGAAGUUGUAGAAGUGUAACUUGCAUUAUUACAGACAAUACUUUUUGACUUCUCAGUCACAAUUAAUUUGGGGGGUAGGUGGAGGAAACCAUGUGUAAAAAGAGCACCCUUUGUAAUACUCUGGCUCGUGAGAUGGCAUCAGGAGUCACUGCCAACUUCAGGAGACAGAACAGAGCAGGGAAUGUGACAGUGCUCCCCAGUGCUGUCACUGCACAGAUCCUCCUCCUCUCCAGCCUGGCACCAUCAAGGGCAGUGACACCACUCCCUCAGGGAAAGCUUUUGGAGAAGCAGCUCUAACUCAGCAUGUUACUGGAGUGCACUUCAGGGCUGUUCUUAGAACACAUCAUAGGGGCCAAUUAGUUGCUGUUAAACUUUUCAGAGGUGAUUGGGAGCACAGAAAAGCAAAUAUAAAACAGUGUUUGUUUUAUAGUUCUGCUAGAAAUAAGGUAAAGACUUGGUGGGCUACUGUGUGUUUAUUGAUAAACAGCAUUUCCUUUUCAAAAACAAACAGUUUUUAAGUUAACCUGAUCAAAGUACACAAGUCUCAGUGGAGUUUAAGACAAUUCACACAGGCGCUUUUGGUGAGGAAAC